RNAcentral lists this ribosomal RNA (771 nucleotides) under Flectobacillus roseus. RNAcentral's name for it is "bacterial SSU rRNA". It matches the Rfam family "Bacterial small subunit ribosomal RNA", at positions 107 to 880 of the family's 1533-position model. The record is from RNAcentral. Lineage: Bacteria; Pseudomonadati; Bacteroidota; Cytophagia; Cytophagales; Flectobacillaceae.
UGCGUAACACGUAUGCAACCUACCUAUCAUUGGGGGAUAGCCUUUGGAAACGGAGAUUAAUACCGCAUAAGACAGUAACAUGGCAUCAUGUAGCUGUUAAAGCUUCUGCGAUGAUAGAUGGGCAUGCGUCCAAUUAGUUAGUUGGUGAGGUAACGGCUCACCAAGACGAUGAUUGGUAGGGGAUCUGAGAGGAUAAUCCCCCACACUGGCACUGAGAUACGGGCCAGACUCCUACGGGAGGCAGCAGUAGGGAAUAUUGGGCAAUGGACGGAAGUCUGACCCAGCCAUGCCGCGUGCAGGAUGAAGGCGUUAUGCGUUGUAAACUGCUUUUUUAUAGGAAGAAGGAGACCUUGCGAGGUUUGGUGACGGUACUAUAAGAAUAAGCACCGGCUAACUCCGUGCCAGCAGCCGCGGUAAUACGGAGGGUGCGAGCGUUGUCCGGAUUUAUUGGGUUUAAAGGGUGCGUAGGCGGUUUAUUAAGUCAGUGGUGAAAGACGGUCGCUCAACGAUUGCAGUGCCAUUGAUACUGGUAGACUUGAGUUCGUAUGAGGUAGCUGGAAUGGAUAGUGUAGCGGUGAAAUGCAUAGAUAUUAUCCAGAACUCCAAUUGCGUAGGCAGGUUACUAAUACGAUACUGACGCUGAUGCACGAAAGUGUGGGGAUCAAACAGGAUUAGAUACCCUGGUAGUCCACACUGUAAACGAUGAUGACUAACUGUUUGCCCUUUGGGGUGAGUGGUACAGAGAAAUCGUUAAGUCAUCCACCUGGGGAG